RNAcentral lists this ribosomal RNA (253 nucleotides) under uncultured bacterium. RNAcentral's name for it is "partial 16S ribosomal RNA". It matches the Rfam family "Bacterial small subunit ribosomal RNA", at positions 524 to 776 of the family's 1533-position model. The record is from RNAcentral.
GACGAACCGUCCAAACGUUAUUCGGAAUCACUGGGCUUACAGAGUUCGUAGGCGGUCUGGAAAGUUGGGUGUGAAAUCCCUCGGCUCAACCGAGGAACUGCGCUUGAUACUGCCAGACUCGAGGGAGAUAGAGGAAAGCGGAACUGAUGGUGGAGCGGUGAAAUGCGUUGAUAUCAUCAGGAACACCGGUGGCGAAGGCGGCUUUCUGGGUCUUACCUGACGCUGAGGAACGAAAGCUAGGGGAGCGAACGGG